This is a non-coding RNA of Arachis ipaensis, 202 nucleotides long. The record is from RefSeq and is a predicted model, not a curated record. Lineage: Eukaryota; Viridiplantae; Streptophyta; Magnoliopsida; Fabales; Fabaceae.
AACUCGAAGAUCGUCUCAAGAGCAGCUACGACUACGUUCAAGCUCCAGAUUUUGAGGAUGAAGAGGAUGAGAAAGAAGAAGAAGGAGAGAUUUUAGCUCCUGUGCCGGAUUCUAGCUUCAACGAAGAUGAUUUGUAUCCUUCUCCAAUUUUUGGCUGCUGAACAAUUUUUAACAUAGAACUGAAAAAAAUGAAAAUAAAAAA